RNAcentral lists this ribosomal RNA (427 nucleotides) under uncultured bacterium. Its description in RNAcentral is "bacterial SSU rRNA". It matches the Rfam family "Bacterial small subunit ribosomal RNA", at positions 355 to 774 of the family's 1533-position model. The record is from RNAcentral.
UAGGGAAUCUUCCACAAUGGGCGCAAGCCUGAUGGAGCAACACCGCGUGAGCGAAGAAGGGUUUCGGCUCGUAAAGCUCUGUUGUUGGAGAAGAACGUGCGUGAGAGUAACUGUUCACGCAGUGACGGUAUCCAACCAGAAAGUCACGGCUAACUACGUGCCAGCAGCCGCGGUAAUACGUAGGUGGCAAGCGUUAUCCGGAUUUAUUGGGCGUAAAGCGAGCGCAGGCGGUUGCUUAGGUCUGAUGUGAAAGCCUUCGGCUUAACCGAAGAAGUGCAUCGGAAACCGGGCGACUUGAGUGCAGAAGAGGACAGUGGAACUCCAUGUGUAGCGGUGGAAUGCGUAGAUAUAUGGAAGAACACCAGUGGCGAAGGCGGCUGUCUGGUCUGCAACUGACGCUGAGGCUCGAAAGCAUGGGUAGCGAACA